RNAcentral lists this ribosomal RNA (375 nucleotides) under uncultured bacterium. RNAcentral describes it as "bacterial SSU rRNA". It matches the Rfam family "Bacterial small subunit ribosomal RNA", at positions 521 to 896 of the family's 1533-position model. The record is from RNAcentral.
UAAUACGUAGGCAGCGAGCGUUGUUCGGAAUUACUGGGCGUAAAGAGUGUGUAGGCGGUGCUCCAAGUCUGUUGUGAAAUCUCCCGGCUUAACUGGGAGGGUGCAGCGGAAACUGGAAUGCUUGAGGGUGGGAGAGGAAAGCGGAAUUCCUGGUGUAGCGGUGAAAUGCGUAGAUAUCAGGAGGAACACCUGUGGUGUAGACAGCUUUCUGGACCACUUCUGACGCUGAGACACGAAAGCGUGGGUAGCAAACAGGAUUAGAUACCCUGGUAGUCCACGCCCUAAACGAUGCAUACUUGGUGUGAGCCAUUCAUUUGGUUUGUGCCGGAGCUAACGCGUUAAGUAUGCCGCCUGGGGAGUACGGUCGCAAGGCUG